UGGGGAAUAUUGGACAAUGGAGGUAACUCUGAUCCAGCAAUUCUGUUUGUGUGAAGAAGGUUUUAGGACUGUAAAACACUUUUAGUAGGGAAGAAAAAAAUGACGGUACCUACAGAAGAAGCGACGGCUAAAUACGUGCCAGCAGCCGCGGUAAUACGUAUGUCGCGAGCGUUAUCCGGAAUUAUUGGGCUUAAAGAGCAUCUAGGCGGUUAAACAAGUUGAAGGUGAAAACCUGUGGCUCAACCAUAGGCUGGCCUACAAAACUGUAUAACUAGAGUAAUGGAAAGGAGGGUGGAACUACACGAGUAGAGGUGAAAUUCGUAGAUAUGUGUAGGAAUGCCGAUGAUGAAGAUAUCUCACUGUACAGAAACUGACGCUGAAGUGCGAAAGCUAGGGGAGCAAACAGG
RNAcentral lists this ribosomal RNA (407 nucleotides) under Verrucomicrobiota bacterium. RNAcentral's name for it is "Verrucomicrobia bacterium partial 16S ribosomal RNA". It matches the Rfam family "Bacterial small subunit ribosomal RNA", at positions 355 to 776 of the family's 1533-position model. Lineage: Bacteria; Pseudomonadati; Verrucomicrobiota. The record is from RNAcentral.